CAACACUUGCUCGCAGCUACUCAGCGAGAAACAAACAAAAAUGUUGCCUAACAUAAAAUCAUUGAGAAUGUUGCUUAACAGGCGAUUAAAAGCGGCUGUCGACGAGCUAUUCGGGGCAGUUGAAACAACGAUAGCAGAGUACCAGCAAGAAUUAUGCCGUUCAAAAGAGGAGAAAGACCGAACGAUAGCAGAGUACCAGGAAAAAAUGUCCCGUUCGGAAGAAGAGAAAGCCCGGCUACAGAGGCUGCUGGAUGUCGUUCUUAAACCAGAAGUAAAGCUACAGAGACUAGAAGACCUCCAGCAGCUCACUCUCUCCAUCUCUGAAGAAGUUUCCCCUGAGCAGCAGGAUUGUAGUCCUGGUCUGUGGCAGGAGGGACCUUCUCAGAUUAAAGUGGAACAGGAGGACCUAUGGGUCAUCAGUCAGGGACAAGAGCAGCUUCAAGCGAUGGAUUAUGAUACUGAUUGUACUGAUGAUUCUGCUGAUACAGAAGCCUUCAUAUCUACUGCCAGAGUAAAAGGUGACUGUAAUCAUAACCCAAGUCAGUCCUCACAUCUUUACCAAGUUUUAACCCAACGUGAAGAAAACACAGACAGGGAUGAGCUACCCAGCACCACAAUGCGAAUUGAACAGAUUAAAACAGAAAACGUCAGUAACAGUGACUCUCAGCCCCCAUCUGCAGUCAAUUCAGACUGGUCUGAAACUCAGAUUGAGAGUGGUGAUAGUGUUGAUUGGAUGGAGAGUGAAGGACCUCCACUCAAGUCAAAGAGAACACAGACAGAUGUUGGACCAAGAGUCUGUACUAAAGUCAGAGAAUCCACCGAGUUGUCCCAUUUGAAAUCCCCUAUCCCCAGUAAUGCUGUUCGUCAUUGUAGAAUAUGUGCAAAACCUUUUAUCACCAUGACGUCUCUAGUGAUUCAUGCCCAUAGACAUAGACAGCUAUCUCGGUGUGGUGUCUGCGGAAGAACCUUUGAGUCUGUAGAAAGUUUGAAAGAACAUCUACAUUUUCAUGUUGCAAGUACAGGAUCACUUUCUUGUUACAUCUGUGGUAUAUGCUUCACAGAGGAUGAGGAGGUUUUGCUGGAAGAGCAUAUGAGCAAUCACAAACUGUAUCGUUGUCUUGGGUGUAAGGAACGUUUUCGAAACUCGCCAGGGUCUGACAUUGCAUAAGAGGACACAACAGGACUCUUGAUCAGGCUUGAAAAUUGAAGACCCCCCCCGACCUGCAGCCUGAGCCUUUACAAGCAGUCUUUUUUUAUUUUGAAAUUGUAAAAACAAUGUGAAUGUGAGGGAGGAGUAGCCUAUAUUGUCGUGAUCAAACUUGAUUAAAACACUACAGCAGUUUUUGCUGAAGAAAUUACUCUGGUAAAAUGUUACAGUUCCAAAUCCUAGUAAAGGAAGCCUGAGUGAGGCCCAAUGCAGUCUGUAUCCUGAAAAGUUUUUUAUAUCAAAUAAACUAUUGAAUGGAGAGUG
Molecule: long non-coding RNA, 1471 nt
Organism: Oncorhynchus masou masou (cherry salmon)
Lineage: Eukaryota; Metazoa; Chordata; Actinopteri; Salmoniformes; Salmonidae
Exons: 2
Source: RefSeq, a predicted model, not a curated record